RNAcentral lists this ribosomal RNA (2787 nucleotides) under Triticum aestivum (bread wheat). RNAcentral describes it as "partial small subunit ribosomal RNA". Lineage: Eukaryota; Viridiplantae; Streptophyta; Magnoliopsida; Poales; Poaceae. The record is from RNAcentral.
AUGGCAUCUCGUUUUUGGGGACAGGGAGACAGUGACUCUGAGGAGGAGGUGGACGAGAUCGAGUCAGAACAAGGGAGUGAUAGCGAGAAAUCAGAAGCCGGUGAUGGGGGACGCGAUGGGUCCAAGAACCGCUAUCUGAACAAAUAUACACAAGACAGUGACGACUCUGACACUGAGAGCCACCGCGUGAUUCGCUCCUUGAAGGACAAGCGCAAUGAUGAGAUGAAAGCUACUGCCGACCAGAUGCGCAAUGCAAUGAAGAUCAAUGACUGGAUUAGCUUGCAGGAGUGUUUUGACAAGCUAAACAAGCAGCUUGACAAAGUUGUUCGUGUCAAUGAAUCUGCGAAAAUUCCAAAUGGGUAUAUCACAACUCUUGUGCUACUGGAGGACUUCCUUGCCGAGGCUCUUGCAAACAAGGAAGCCAAGAAGAAGAUGAGCAGCAGCAACGCGAAGGCGCUAAAUGCUGUCAAGCAAAAGCUUAAGAAGAACAACAAGCAGUAUGAAGACUUGAUCCAGAAGUGCAGAGAGAAUCCAGAGAGCUUUGAAGAUGAUGUUGCAGAUGAUAAGGAUGUGGAUGAUGAUGAUGAUGAGAGUGGGGAUGAUGUUGUGGAUCCGGAUAAGAUGGCCUCUGACUCAGAAGAUUCAGGGAAUGAAGACGAUGUCAGUCAAGAUGGUGGAGCCUGGGAAAAGAAGUUGAGCAAGAAAGAUAAGAUUAUGGACAAGCAGUUCUUGAAGGACCCGAGUGAGAUUACAUGGGAUAUUGUUGAUAAAAAGCUCAAGGAGAUUGUGGCGUCGAGGGGUAAGAAGGGCACUGGGAGAGUUGAACGUGUGGAGCAGUUAACAUUUUUGACACGGGUGGCAAAAACGCCUGCCCAGAAGCUUGAAAUUCUUUUUCAUGUGAUUUCUGCCCAGUUUGAUGUCAACCCUAGCUUACUUGGUCAUAUGCCAGUCAAUGUGUGGAAGAAGUGUGUUAAUAAUAUGCUUCUUGUGCUUGAUAUUCUGCAACAGUAUCCUAAUAUUGUAGUGGACACCUCAGUGGAGGCUGAUGAGAAGGAAACUCAGAAGGGUGCCGACUAUGAUGGAACAAUCCAUGUUACUGGUGACCUAGUUGCAUUCCUGGAGAGAAUUGACUCGGAGUUCUUUAAGAGUUUGCAGUGUAGUGAUCCAUAUACCAAAGAUUAUGUUCAGAGGCUUAGAGAUGAACCCUUGUUUUUGGUACUUGCGCAAAAUGUGCAAGAGUACCAGGAAAGGGUUGAGAAUCAUAAGGCUGCUGCGAAGGUUGCAUUGCGUCGUGUUGAACUAGUCUACUACAAACCUCAAGAAGUAUAUGAUGCAAUGAGAAAGCUGGCUGAGCAAACUGAGGUUGUCAUGGAGGAUGGAGAUAUUGAGGCCGGCGAUGAGCAUCAAGCAGCUGAUGACAAUAGAGGACCACCACCGUUUAUUGUGAUUCCGGAGGUUGUACCUAGGAAGCCUACUUUCCCCGAGAGUGGCAGAGCUUUGAUGGAUGGAUUGAUGUCUCUAAUUUACAAGUAUGGAGAUGAAAGGACCAAAGCCCGGGCAAUGCUGUGUCACAUAUAUCACUAUGCAAUCUCUGAAGAAUUUUCAGUUGCUCGCGACUUACUCUUAAUGAGUCGUUUACAAGAUGGGAUUCAACUUAUGGACAUCUCAUCUCAGAUUUUAUACAACCGGGUCAUGGCCCAACUGGGGUUAUGCGCCUUCCGAGCUGGUUUGAUAGCUGAUGCUCAUGGUUGCCUGUCUGAGCUAUAUGCAACUGGAAGGGUGAAAGAGUUGCUUGCACAAGGUGUCCAGUAUAGUCGAUACCACGAGAGAACUCCUGAACAGGAACGACUUGAGAGGAGAAGGAUGAUGCCUUACCAUAUGCAUAUAAACCUUGAACUUUUGGAAGCCACACAUUUGAUCUGUGCAAUGCUAAUUGAGGUCCCGUAUAUGGCUUCCAGUACUUAUGACAAGCGGAGGCCUAUGAGCAAAACAUUCCGCAGGCUUCUUGAAAUGAGUGAGAGACAGACUUUUGUUGGACCUCCAGAAACGGUGAGGGAUCAUGUAAUGGCUGCCACGAGGGCCCUCAAUAAGGGUGACCAUGAAAAGGCUUUCAGUGUCAUCAGUUCUCUGGAUACCUGGAAACUUUUGAGGAAUAAGGAGCAUAUCCUUGAGAUGCUGAAGCUUAAAAUCAAGGAAGAGGCUCUUAGAACCUAUCUCUUCUCUUACUCGUCUUGCUACGAGUCCCUGAGCCUUGACCAGCUCACCACUAUGUUUGACCUCAGCGAGGCACACGCUCACAGCGUUGUUAGCAAGAUGAUGAUGCACGAUGAGCUUCAUGCAAGCUGGGACCAGCCAACCAAGUGCAUUGUAUUCCAGAACGUGGAUCAAACCAGGCUGCAGGGACUAAUCUUCCAGAUGACUGAUAGGCUCUCUGUCCUUGUGGAGAGCAACGAGAGGGCGUAUGAAGCCAGGACUGGUGGUGCCCUUGAGGGUGCACCACCCAGGCGCAGGGGUGAUCAAGACUCGUCCAAUAUGGGAAAGUGGCAGGAGAACUUUGUGUCGUCACAAGGCGGCCGCCGCGGCGGUGGGAGGUCUGGUUAUGCUGGUAGAGGAGGCUCUGGGCAGGGCGGUGGGUACCAAAAUGACAGGGGUGGCCAGGGUUCCCGUGGGGGCUAUGGUGGUGGUUCUCGGUUCCAGGAUGGAAGGGCUCGCAACCAGUCUGGUUCCUCGUCUAGAGGGGAUGGCAAUGGACGCAUGGUGAACCUAAACAGGCCUGGUAGAAAUUAG